UACAGAGGUCUCAAGCGUUGUUCGGAUUCAUUGGGCGUAAAGGGUGUCGUAGGUGGCGCGCUAAGUCGGGUGUGAAAUUUCGGAGCUUAACUCCGAAACUGCAUUCGAUACUGGCGUGCUUGAGGACUGGAGAGGAGACUGGAAUUCAUGGUGUAGCAGUGAAAUGCGUAGAGAUCAUGAGGAAGACCAGUGGCGAAGGCGGGUCUCUGGGCAGUAACUGACGCUGAGGAGCGAAAGCGUGGGGAGCGAACAGG
Molecule: ribosomal RNA, 254 nt
Filed under: uncultured bacterium
Lineage: Bacteria
Description: partial 16S ribosomal RNA
Rfam family: Bacterial small subunit ribosomal RNA
Source: RNAcentral